Molecule: ribosomal RNA, 158 nt
Filed under: uncultured bacterium
Lineage: Bacteria
Description: partial 16S ribosomal RNA
Rfam family: Bacterial small subunit ribosomal RNA
Source: RNAcentral
GAAACCCUGAUGCAGCCAUGCCGCGUGUGUGAAGAAGGCCUUCGGGUUGUAAAGCACUUUCAGUGGGGAGGAAGGGGUGAUGCCUAAUACGCAUCAUCAUUGACGUUACCUACAGAAGAAGCACCGGCUAACUCCGUGCCAGCAGCCGCGGUAAUAAU